UCAGGCCUAACACAUGCAAGUCGAGCGGAAACGAGUUAUCUGAACCUUCGGGGGACGAUAACGGCGUCGAGCGGCGGACGGGUGAGUAAUGCCUAGGAAAUUGCCCUGAUGUGGGGGAUAACCAUUGGAAACGAUGGCUAAUACCGCAUAAUGCCUACGGGCCGAAGAGGGGGACCUUCGGGCCUCUCGCGUCAGGAUAUGCCUAGGUGGGAUUAGCUAGUUGGUGAGGUAAGGGCUCACCAAGGCGACGAUCCCUAGCUGGUCCGAGAGGAUGAUCAGCCACACUGGAACUGAGACACGGUCCAGACUCCUACGGGAGGCAGCAGUGGGGAAUAUUGCACAAUGGGCGCAAGCCUGAUGCAGCCAUGCCGCGUGUGUGAAGAAGGCCUUCGGGUUGUAAAGCACUUUCAGUCGUGAGGAAGGUGGUGUAGUUAAUAGCUGCAUUAUUUGACGUUAGCGACAGGAGAUGCACCGGCUAACUCCGUGCCAGCAGCCGCGGUAAUACGGAGGGUGCGAGCGUUAAUCGGAAUUACUGGGCGUAAAGCGCAUGCAGGUGGUUUGUUAAGUCAGAUGUGAAAGCCCGGGGCUCAACCUCGGAAUAGCAUUUGAAACUGGCAGACUAGAGUACUGUAGAGGGGGGUAGAAUUUCA
Molecule: ribosomal RNA, 650 nt
Filed under: uncultured bacterium
Lineage: Bacteria
Description: bacterial SSU rRNA
Rfam family: Bacterial small subunit ribosomal RNA
Source: RNAcentral